UGCAUGUCUAGUACAUGCCGUAUUAAGGCGAAACCGCGAAUGGCUCAUUAAAUCAGUUAUGGUUCCUUGGAUCGUACAUUCCUACUUGGAUAACUGUGGUAAUUCUAGAGCUAAUACAUGCAGCAGAGCUCCGACCUUCGGGGACGAGCGCUUUUAUUAGACCAAAACCAAUCGGACUCUGUCCGUCUCUCGUGGUGACUCUGAAUAACUUUGGGCUGAUCGCACGGGCCCGUCCCGGCGACGUAUCUUUCAAGUGUCUGCCUUAUCAACUUUCGAUGGUAGGUUAUGCGCCUACCAUGGUCGUUACGGGUAACGGGGAAUCAGGGUUCGAUUCCGGAGAGGGAGCCUGAGAAAUGGCUACCACAUCCAAGGAAGGCAGCAGGCGCGCAAAUUACCCACUCCCAGAACGGGGAGGUAGUGACGAAAAAUAACAAUACGGGACUCUUUUGAGACCCCGUAAUUGGAAUGAGUACACUCUAAAUCCUUUAACGAGGAUCCAUUGGAGGGCAAGUCUGGUGCCAGCCGCCGCGGUAACUCCAGCUCCAAUAGCGUAUAUUAAAGUUGUUGCGGUUAAAAAGCUCGUAGUUGGAUCUCAGUUCCAGACGGGUGGUCCGCCUACCGGUGGUUACUGCCUGUUCUGAACAGCCAGCCGGUUUCUCUUGAUGAUCUUCACCGGUUGUCUUGGGUGACCGGCAAGUUUACUUUGAAAAAAUUAGAGUGCUCAAAGCAGGCGCGACGCCUGAAUAAUGGUGCAUGGAAUAAUGGAAUAGGACCUCGGUUCUAUUUUGUUGGUUUUCGGAACACGAGGUAAUGAUUAAGAGGGACAGACGGGGGCAUUCGUAUUGCGACGCUAGAGG
This 857-nucleotide ribosomal RNA is filed under the name Epidelaxia sp. Sal_1036. RNAcentral describes it as "SSU rRNA". It matches the Rfam family "Eukaryotic small subunit ribosomal RNA", at positions 52 to 911 of the family's 1831-position model. The record is from RNAcentral. Lineage: Eukaryota; Metazoa; Arthropoda; Arachnida; Araneae; Salticidae.